GGGAGCGGAUGAGUGUCUGGUGUGCUCUGCGGUCUUCAAAACCGUUGUGAGAAGUGUACUUCUCGGGUAGGUUCGAUUCCUACACGCUCUCGCCA
This 95-nucleotide transfer RNA is filed under the name Anaerococcus octavius. RNAcentral describes it as "tRNA-Sec". It matches the Rfam family "Selenocysteine transfer RNA". Lineage: Bacteria; Bacillati; Bacillota; Tissierellia; Tissierellales; Peptoniphilaceae. The record is from RNAcentral. RNAcentral also lists the same sequence under 4 other names.